RNAcentral lists this ribosomal RNA (497 nucleotides) under uncultured bacterium. Its description in RNAcentral is "partial 16S ribosomal RNA". It matches the Rfam family "Bacterial small subunit ribosomal RNA", at positions 28 to 507 of the family's 1533-position model. The record is from RNAcentral.
GACGAACGCUGGCGGCGUGCCUAAUACAUGCAAGUUGAGCGCUGAAGGUUGGUACUUGUACCGACUGGAUGAGCAGCGAACGGGUGAGUAACGCGUGGGGAAUCUGCCUUUGAGCGGGGGACAACAUUUGGAAACGAAUGCUAAUACCGCAUAAAAACUUUAAACACAAGUUUUAAGUUUGAAAGAUGCAAUUGCAUCACUCAAAGAUGAUCCCGCGUUGUAUUAGCUAGUUGGUGAGGUAAAGGCUCACCAAGGCGAUGAUACGUAACCGACCAGAGAGGGUGAUCGGCCACAUUGGGCCUGGAACACGGCCCAAACCCCUGCGGGAGGCAGCAGUAGGGAAUCUUCGGCAAUGGACGAAAUUCUGACCGAUCAACGCCGCGGGAGUGCAGAAGGUUUUCGGGUCGUAAAACUCUGUUAGUAGUGAAGAACGUAGGUGAGAGUUAAACGCGCAUCUAGUGACGGUAACGACCCAGAAAGGGACGGCUAACUACGUG